This 340-nucleotide unclassified non-coding RNA is filed under the name Hevea brasiliensis (rubber tree). The record is from RNAcentral. Lineage: Eukaryota; Viridiplantae; Streptophyta; Magnoliopsida; Malpighiales; Euphorbiaceae.
UGGACAAAGUUGCAAAAAAGGUUUUGUACUCUCUUAUGUAUUUUGAGUAUAUUUCUUUAUAUGUACAGAUAGAUGGAAGAAGGCAUCUAAACUCAGUACCUUAGAGAUCGAAAAGUGUACUAAACAUCAGUACGCGCACAAGCCAACAGUCAUCGAGGUAGAUCUAUUGUGACACCAUUAUCCUUCUGUAGUUCUAUCGUUUAAUUGAACUCUCAUCUUUCAGUAUUUUCUUCAGAUGACAGUGGGAGCUCUUUUGAUGAGGAACAAAACUGUGGAACAAGAAAGGAAGUUCUGCUGGUGGAUGGUUUCUUAGAUGAUGAAGAUUCAGCAGUAGAGCAUA